GGAAUUCUUCCUUGUGUAACAUAUGUCUUGACAAGAAUCAUCUGGUCAUCACUCAGUGCUUGCAACACCUCACUUACAUACAUUCUGGUCAUCUGGAAGUGGACUGGUUGCAUGACUUACAUUCUGGUCAUCUGGAAGUGGACUGUUUACAUGACUUAUGGGCAGAUAUCGCAUUGGGUUGGUCCAGUCAGGUUCUGGUCGAGUCAAAAACAUAAACCCUUAACCCAAAUUGACAGAUAUGCGAUAGGGUUGAGAAAAAUACAUCCAAACACAAGCCAUUUAUUUAGAUAGGUCCAUACCUACUU
RNAcentral lists this long non-coding RNA (305 nucleotides) under Phoenix dactylifera (date palm). RNAcentral describes it as "long non-coding RNA (PDAC_LNC005294)". Lineage: Eukaryota; Viridiplantae; Streptophyta; Magnoliopsida; Arecales; Arecaceae. The record is from RNAcentral.